ACUAUAACGGUCCUAAGGUAGCGAAAUUCCUUGUCGGGUAAGUUCCGACCUGCACGAAUGGCAUAAUGAUGGCGGCGCUGUCUCCCAGCAGAGGCUCAGUGAAAUCGAAAUCGCUGUGAAGAUGCAGUGUACCCGCGGCUAGACGGAAAGACCCCGUGAACCUUUACUGCAGCUUGACACUGAACUUUGACCUUACUUGUGUAGGAUAGGUGGGAGGCUUUGAAGCUGGAACGCUAGUUCCAGUGGAGCCGUCCUUGAAAUACCACCCUGGUAAUGUUGAGGUUCUAACUCUGUCCCGUGAUCCGGGACGAGGACCGUGUCUGGUGGGUAGUUUGACUGGGGCGGUCUCCUCCUAAAGAGUAACGGAGGAGUACGAAGGUGCGCUCAGCGUGGUCGGAAAUCACGCGUAGAGUAUAAAGGCAAAGCGCGCUUAACUGCGAGACCCACAAGUCGAGCAGGUACGAAAGUAGGUCUUAGUGAUCCGGUGGUUCUGUAUGGAAGGGCCAUCGCUCAACGGAUAAAAGGUACUCUGGGGAUAACAGGCUGAUACCGCCAAGAGUUCAUAUCGACGGCGGUGUUUGGCACCUCGAUGUCGGCUCAUCUCAUCCUGGGGCUGAAGCAGGUCCCAAGGGUAUGGCUGUUCGCCAUUUAAAGAGGUACGCGAGCUGGGUUUAGAACGUCGUGAGACAGUUCGGUCCCUAUCUACCGUGGGCGCUGGAAAUUUGAGAGGAUCUGCUCCUAGUACGAGAGGACCAGAGUGGACGAACCUCUGGUGUACCGGUUGUGACGCCAGUCGCAUCGCCGGGUAGCUAUGUUCGGAAGGGAUAACGCUGAAAGCAUCUAAGCGGGAAGCCUACCUCAAGAUAAGAUUUCCCUAGGACUUUAUGUCCUCUAAAGAGCCGUUCGAGACUAGGACGUUGAUAGGUUGGAUGUGGAAGCAUAGUGAUAUGUGAAGCUGACCAAUACUAAUUGCUCGUGAGGCUUGACUAU
This 990-nucleotide ribosomal RNA is filed under the name Acinetobacter baumannii 1428368. RNAcentral's name for it is "bacterial LSU rRNA". It matches the Rfam family "Bacterial large subunit ribosomal RNA", at positions 1939 to 2925 of the family's 2925-position model. Lineage: Bacteria; Pseudomonadati; Pseudomonadota; Gammaproteobacteria; Moraxellales; Moraxellaceae. The record is from RNAcentral.